This 1260-nucleotide long non-coding RNA is filed under the name Eucalyptus grandis. Its description in RNAcentral is "long non-coding RNA (EGRA_LNC002562)". Lineage: Eukaryota; Viridiplantae; Streptophyta; Magnoliopsida; Myrtales; Myrtaceae. The record is from RNAcentral.
UCCUUAAACUGAUCUAUGCUAACAUGGAGUAAUACAGCACAUGAAUAUCACAAUAAUCAAGCUCAAAUCGACCGUUUCAAGAUUGAAGCUUAGUUUGGGCAUUUUGUCGAACACUGGGUGUGCAUUAAACUAGCCCCAAUAGCCUCAUCGAGCCAUGUUUGCAACCUUCAAUCUCCACUUAUAAGCAAUCUCAUAUGGAACUAAAGUAUCAAGAUUAUACUACCACAUGCAAAUAACAAGAUUAGAUAGAAAUCAUAGCUAAAAACACACUAGAACCAAGCUAAAAUCGUCCUCAAAUGCACGGGUUUGAGCUGAUUUUGCAAAUCUGGGCUUGAACCCAAGUCAAGCAAACAGGUUACAUGCCCAUAUUCAAGCCCCAACACUCAUCACAUGCGAGAUCUAAGGGAAAUGCUACUUAAUCCACGUGAAAGUAGAUAACAUGGGCUUUCAAAUACAACAAACAUAAUGGAGAAUGACUCACCGAAAAACAUCAAAACGACCUCUCCAAGAAGCACACAUGCAAAACUCUUGAAGAGAUUUCAAACACUUAGAAAAAUUUCAGCCUCAGAAAUCAGUUUUCUGGGCUGGUUUUACUCUUGAUUUUCAUGAUCAAAACAUGCUCAAACUCGAAAAUAAAUACAUCUAGGAUGCUUACCUUGCUUCCUAGUUUCCUUUUCAAGUGGUUAUUGGCUGAUGAAACCGACAAAUUAUCCUCGGGGGCCUGUGGAAGUUGGCUUCUUCAACUGGAAAUGAGAUCUGCAAAAAAAAUGAACUGACAACGAAGGUUUUCAUUGACCUCUAACAUUAGACUUCAAGACGUAUUUUGUUGGAAAACUUGACACCACGCCAAACUAUAUGUAUUCUAGUUUGGGUUAAAAGUCAAUAUUUUCCUCAUUUGUUUCUCAAAUUUCUCAAAAACACUGGCUUUCCUCACUCGUGACCAACCAGUCUCAUUACUUAGAAAAAUUUUCGGACUUUCUUGGCCCGCCAGGAGGGCACUGUUUCGGGGGGCUUUAGGAGGCCUUCCCCAUCUCCAUUUGGGACGUGCGACCUAUGGUUGGAAAGAUCUUUGAAUGAAGUUUCACUCUCUAGUUGGAGGUUUUGGCUAAUUUUUGCCGAAGGGUUGUGAAAAUCUCACUUUUCUCUCAAAAGGUUGAUCUGGAAUUUCUGGGUUUGCUUUUCUGGAGUUGCUUCUGAGGGCCUCUUUGGGGAACGAUUCCGAGCUCUCUCCUCUUCCCCUUGUCUCUUCUCUCUCAUCCC